Callorhinus ursinus (northern fur seal) is the source of this 4151-nucleotide non-coding RNA. The record is from RefSeq and is a predicted model, not a curated record. Lineage: Eukaryota; Metazoa; Chordata; Mammalia; Carnivora; Otariidae.
UGUCAGAGAAGUUACUGCCUGUGUUCUCUUCUAGGAUUUUUAUGUUUUUGCUCUUCAAAGUCUUCGAACACAUGAAACAAUCCCCUACCCCAGAUUCUGGUCUUCUGUGAAAGUGAUUAAAAAUCAACCUCUGGGAAAUGCCUUGCUUUGGGCACUGGGCUUCCUGCCUGGGCUACUCUUGAUGCAGACCAAGCUGGUGUGAUGAACCAGAGAGGAAUUCCAAAGUUGGACUGCUACACCGGAGACCGUAUUGCUUCUCGGCACAGAAGCACUCAAUUGCCUAUUUGGUUCCUGGAACACCGAUCUGUAACUUCAAUGACGGGCAUGGAUGGGGAGUGGCUAAAAGAGUGCUAGAAAUUAUGGAUUUGUUCAUGACAGAAAAACUAGUGUGAUUAAUUGGUAUUUUCUGGAAUGGCUUUUUAGCAGUGGUUCCCUAACCUGAUCAGGACUCAGAAUUACAAGAGAAACUUAAAUACAAAGAUUUAGAUUCAGUGCUUCUUGGCUGGGUACUGUGAAUCUUUGAGCAGCCAUUUUGUGAACCACUGUUUUAUGGGGAUGGACAAGGCCUAGCAUAAAUAAAACGACUUGGGGAAGAGAAAGCAGGUUGGUGGACAUGUGUUGGUAGAUCUCUUCCAGAGGUAGUAUACGGAGCAUGUUUUAUUCUACGUCUUAAAAAAAAUUGAGAUUUAUUUACAUAAUAAUAGAACAGACAGACCUCUUUAUGUUUCACAGCUUUUGUAGCUGAUUUUAUGUAACUUUGACAGUUCCAGAUGGCUGCAAAAUUUCAAAUUUCUCUUUAGGACCUCAAUAAAUUCUUUGAAACAUUGUGGGUGUGUGGAGGAGGCAGGUCCAUUUUCUUCCUGAGAUUCUUUUAUCGAUAAACUUAGUGGGGCAUGGAAGCGGGGAUGAAAAAGACAAGCAUACAGCUGAGCACAAAUGAGUGGCAAGAGACAGAGGACAAAUGUGAAGAAGCAAGACAGGAGGGCAGUCCUGUCCCCCCCACAGUUGUUAUCUCAUGAUACCCAUUUCUUUCAACACAGUUAUCACAAAGAAACUUGUGAGAACACAAAUGGAAGGAAUGGCAUAUUCCAGUGGUUUGAGGGAACAUUUUAGUGUCCUGGUGGGGAUCUACUAGAAAAGUGGACAGAGUGGCAACAGUGGCUGCUGCUGUGGCAUCUGUCUCUGGCCAUCCAUGGAAAUGCUGUUUCUUGUUUUCUGCCUCUGGGGCACCUGCUUAACAAGAACUGCCGUCUGGUCUUUAAAGGUGGUUUCUGCAGCGGUCUUCCUGACCCCUAGCCUGUUUUGGUUCAUGUCCCUAUUUUAUGCUCCCAUGACUAUACUUCUAAUGAUAGUGUUUUUCAGUUUAUUAUAAUUUUUUUGAAUUGUGGUAUAAUAUUUUAAGAUUUAAUUUUUUUCUCCAUUACUCUAUCUUUUUAUUCUUGUGUUUAAAUUCCAGCUGGUUCUGUGCUUAGGGAUAGGGGAGGGUUAUGGCAGGAAGGAAAUCAGUGGUGAUGCAAAAGCUUCCAUGACUAUUUUUCCUGAAGCUUAAACCCCAUUAUCAGAGAAUAAUCUCAGGUACAGAUAAAAUCUCUUGGCCAGAAACAUGAAAGGAAGACUUUCUCAGAGUUUAGAAAAUACCCCCUUCUAACUGGAGGGUGGAAGAUGAGGGGAAAAUGGGAACUGUGGGUCUGAAAUGGAGAGAUUAUAUGCCCUGCUCCCCUAGUAGAGUCUGGUAGGGGAAAGAUCUGGGGGGAACGGCCAAAUUGUGAGUCUAGGGGUUGAUGGAAUGAAAGGAGUUUUGGAAUAAAAAAAUCAGAGCUGGCAUCAGCCUUUUAAGACUGCAAAGAAGCCCUCUGCAGCUUGUAUGGAAAUUCCUCUUACAGCUGGGCCCAGUGAGGCUUUAGAAAACUCAUUGGCAGGACCAGACUAAUUAACAGGUCAGAUUGAGAUCAGGUAUGCUGCCUUCAAGAAAGAACACUAUCCUUGGCAGUUUUAUUAGUUUGCAAGGGCUGCUGUAACAAAGAACCAGAAACUGAGUGGCUUAAAUAAUAGAAGUUUAUGGUCUCACAGUUUUAGACACUAAAAGAUCAAGGUAUACUUUGGUUGGUUCCUUCUGAGGGCAAUGAGGAAAUCUGUUUCUUGCCUUUCUCUCAGCUUCUGGUGAUUUGGUGGCAAUUUUUGGUAUUCCUUCCCUGAUCUCUGCCUCCAUCUUCACAUGGUAUUCUCUCUGAUGUGUAUCUGUGUCCACACUUCCCCUUUUUACAAAUACAACAGUCAAAUUAAAUUAGGGCCACCCUCAUGACUCCAUCUUAACCUGAUUACUUUUGUGAAGACCCUGUCUCCAAAAAUGGUCCAAAUCAUUCUCCAAAUAAUUCAACCCAUAACUGCUGGUGAACUUGCUAGCAAGGAAACCAGCUGCAGUUCUCCUUGCAGUAGAAGAAAAUUUUCACUUUUAGCUAAGGGAAUGCUUCAUCAGUGAAAAGAGAAAACCCUCACUAGCAGCUGACUGCCUGGCAGAAUCAUGUUUUCAAUGUUUAGGAAUGAACUGAGGGUAAAGGAUGAGAGAAGAACUUUUUCUUCCUGUGGUGAAGUAUGGGUUUCCCCCGGAUAGAGAGGGAUGAUUGGUCAAAAGACUUGAAAAAGUGGACUGUGUGGAAAGGAAAGGAAAUUAAAGGGAGAUGUGGGGAAGAGAGAUGGGUUGGAGAGAGAGGAACAGCCACAUGGGAUACCUCCUCUGAGUCUUUGCAUGCCCUGUGUGAUUUUGCUUUUCUGAGAUGCACUGGUUCUUUGGCAAAAUACAUAGUGUGCCUCCUUCAUAGUCCUGUGUGUACUGCUCUGGGGGAAGACAAAAGGCAGGAGGUCUGCAAAGACUCCUUCAGUCAUCUUGUAGGGACUCUGCAGGAUGCAGGCUUCCUUUCCUACUUCCUGUUCCUAGUUGGAAUCACCAGGGCUGUUGUCAUAGUGGAGUGAGCCAUGGGACACCACCGCAAAGCAGAGACAAUAAAUCUGAGCUGCCUCAUGGAGAUCACAGACCACCUUUCAAGACAGAAAAGGAAAUGCCCUUUCCAGUGUGGUAAGUCAUGAACGUUUAGGUGACUUUUCAGACAUUCUGUGGAUUCCACUGAAGACUGAAGAAUAACUUUUCACCAAGGUGAGACAACCUCCAAACCUGGAUUUUUCCACUUCAUGUGAAAAAUUUUUUUUUUUAAUUCACUCAAGGUGCCUUUAAUGAUUGCCUCCACUGUCAUUACAUUCUCUAAGCCUUCGGAUUUCCAGUUAACUAAUGCACCAUUUAAACCCUUGAUAACUAGGAAAUGUUCCAGUUCAGCCAGCUUGUAUUCCAUGAUCCUGAGGUUUACCAAUAUUUGCUUCUGCAUGGUUAUGGUGUGUGGGGAAUUAAUUAAGAUAUCCCUAGAGAGGCUGAUGACUGAAAGACUCUUAUCAGUAUCGCUCUUAGUUGACCCAGUAAAAGAGGUUGCUCUUACUAGCGCAGGAGAAGUCGAAUUUGAUGACAUUUCACCAACGCUGCUCUGAAAGUGGCUUUUCCAGAAGACAAACAGAAAAGCAAACAAAAUGCCGCUCAGUAGAAGCAACAGCAUGCUCAUGUUUCCUCUUCCGCCUCUUUCUCUCUUCUCGGGCACGGAGGUACUCAGCUGGCAGUUGCGAAGCAGAGGGACACUAGUCACCGGACUAGGGAAGUCAUGGGCCAUGAUGCUAAGUAUCCCACACUGCCUGGUGCAGCUACACCUCAGGUGAAAUUUAAAUCUUUUGGAGUUUGUCAUUCUUUCUCCAGAGAAAGGAAAUGAGGGAAGGAGAAAUGAAUCACAUUCAUAUUAAGAGGAAAAAGUGCAACGCCCAGGCAAAAGUACCAUGGUAGUGUGUGAAUAAAGAAAAGGGAAGAGUGACUUCAACAAGAACAAUGGAAGAGGGGAAUUUUGGACUUUGUAAAAUUAAUUACUAUUUACCAAGCUCCUCAUUGUGGCAGACAAAUGGAUUUAAAAAAUAUAAACUAAUUUUUAUUAAUCAAAUACUUCAUACAAUAUAAUCUUUUUUAUUCUAUCUUAUGGCAAUGUAAUUCCUUCUUCUGGUAUAUAAACAAUUUUACAUCUUAGCAGGAUUUAUGAAGAAACCAUUUAUAUCUCUCUUUUAAA